GACGAACCGUGCGAACGUUGUUCGGAAUCACUGGGCUUAAAGGGCGCGUAGGCGGGCCUCCAAGUCCGGGGUGAAAUCCUCCCGCCUAACGGGAGAAGAGCCUCGGAGACUGGGGGCCUCGAGGAGGGUAGGGGCGUGCGGAACUCUGGGUGGAGCGGUGAAAUGCAUUGAUAUCCAGAGGAACUCCGGUGGCGAAGGCGGCACGCUGGACCCUUUCUGACGCUGAGGCGCGAAAGCCAGGGGAGCAAACGGG
Molecule: ribosomal RNA, 253 nt
Filed under: uncultured bacterium
Lineage: Bacteria
Description: partial 16S ribosomal RNA
Rfam family: Bacterial small subunit ribosomal RNA
Source: RNAcentral